This 314-nucleotide ribosomal RNA is filed under the name uncultured marine eukaryote. Its description in RNAcentral is "bacterial SSU rRNA". The record is from RNAcentral.
AAAAGCUCGUAGUUGGAUCAAGAGUACAACAGUGCAAGGUGGCCCCAUUGCGUCAGUGGCUCCGGUCGCUGGCGCGGUGGCGGACCUAACACCUUGCAUUAAACUGUUGUCUCUAACAGGCCGAAGCGGUUCCCUGUGAGUAGGCCACUUCAUUGGGGCUGAAAGCGAUCACGCAUUUACCACAUGCAUACGGGACGUCGGCCAAAGUUACUGUGAACAAACCAGCGUGUCCAAAACAGGCUUUCGCCUGAAUGUUCGAGCAUGGAAUAACAAGGGAUCGAUUCUCUCGGUUCUUUUUGUUGGUUUUUAACCCG